GGAUGGAAAGCAGGAGCCCUUCGGCUGCCUGUUGUGGGCUGUGGAAGCUGAUCUUUCUCCAGCCCGGCAGCUGUCCCUUCAGUUGGUAGCUUGGCCUGGUCCAGCCUCCAGGACAGCCAGGUGGGGCCCUAACCUCCCACUCCUUUCCCUCCUCCCCACUUAGGUUCCUGCCGUGAGGGAGUUGUUCCCCUGCUGCUCCCCAGGCCUUCCACUUCAGGGAUCUCUUCAGAUAAAGGGGGUGGCUGGGGCCUGAAAUCUCAGCCCUCUCCCCCAGUGCAGAAUGGCAAGGUCCCAGCACUGACCCCAGCCAUCCAGUAGGGACAGGAAGCUCAGAAAGCAGGCUACUUGCCUCUCAGUGGCUAUGGACCUGGAGCAGAAUUGAGUGAGACGGUCCUUGUCUGCCUGCCAGUCUCCCUUCAGACCCUUCUUCACCCACUUCCACUUGUUCACCGCCUUCCCACUGCCAGCCCAGGAAGAGGGUUAGCAAAGGCUGAGCCAGCUCUGACCCAGUCUCCUCUCCCCACGUUUUGGUGGUGACCUCAUGCUGCAGAAAGUAGGGUUCUCUGAGGCCAAUGGCUGUGGGAAUGGGCAAAGAGAGAAGCUCCUGGGUACCCCAAGGCUGCAGCUCCAGCUCCUGGAGGGGUCAGUAAGAAGCAGCCAGGUCAGCCUGGAGUCCAUUGGGGCUCUCUCUGGCCCUACCUACAGCCCUGGGCAGCUUGGGUCAGGACUGAAUAUGGACAUGCAGGGCUCAGGAGCCAGCCAGGGACCUAUGGACAGCUGCGGCCUGCCCUGGGCCCAGGGCCCUUUGGGAGCCCUGACAUGAAGAGAGGCAGCAAUGGCCAGUUGGAAGCCAGUUACGCAGCGAAUGAACUGGAAUUCCAACUACUCAGAAGGAUAAGGCAGGAGAAUUGUUACAUCAGCCUAAGCAUUAAGCCAAGACUCUGUCUCAAAAUAAAG
This 957-nucleotide long non-coding RNA is filed under the name Heterocephalus glaber (naked mole-rat). Its description in RNAcentral is "lncRNA (ENSHGLG00000050737.1)". Lineage: Eukaryota; Metazoa; Chordata; Mammalia; Rodentia; Bathyergidae. The record is from RNAcentral.